This 449-nucleotide ribosomal RNA is filed under the name uncultured bacterium. Its description in RNAcentral is "bacterial SSU rRNA". It matches the Rfam family "Bacterial small subunit ribosomal RNA", at positions 355 to 825 of the family's 1533-position model. The record is from RNAcentral.
UGGGGAAUAUUGCGCAAUGGGGGAAACCCUGACGCAGCGACGCCGCGUGUGGGAUGAAGGUCUUCGGAUUGUAAACCACUGUCGCGAGGGACGAAGCUCUGACGGUACCUCGAAAGGAAGCACCGGCUAACUCUGUGCCAGCAGCCGCGGUAAUACAGAGGGGGCAAGCGUUGUUCGGAAUUACUGGGCGUAAAGGGCGCGUAGGCGGCCUUCUAAGUCAGACGUGAAAUCCCCGGGCUCAACCCGGGAACUGCGUCUGAUACUGGAGGGCUUGAAUCCGGGAGAGGGAUGUGGAAUUCCAGGUGUAGCGGUGAAAUGCGUAGAUAUCUGGAGGAACACCGGUGGCGAAGGCGGCAUCCUGGACCGGUAUUGACGCUGAGGCGCGAAAGCCAGGGGAGCAAACGGGAUUAGAUACCCCCGUAGUCCCUGAGCGGGCUGGCAAGGCGCAU